This 76-nucleotide transfer RNA is filed under the name Thermoanaerobaculum aquaticum. RNAcentral describes it as "tRNA-Asn". It matches the Rfam family "tRNA". Rfam says of the family: Transfer RNA (tRNA) molecules are approximately 80 nucleotides in length. Their secondary structure includes four short double-helical elements and three loops (D, anti-codon, and T loops). Further hydrogen bonds mediate the characteristic L-shaped molecular structure. tRNAs have two regions of fundamental functional importance: the anti-codon, which is responsible for specific mRNA codon recognition, and the 3' end, to which the tRNAs corresponding amino acid is attached (by aminoacyl-tRNA synthetases). tRNAs cope with the degeneracy of the genetic code in two manners: having more than one tRNA (with a specific anti-codon) for a particular amino acid; and 'wobble' base-pairing, i.e. permitting non-standard base-pairing at the 3rd anti-codon position. Lineage: Bacteria; Pseudomonadati; Acidobacteriota; Thermoanaerobaculia; Thermoanaerobaculales; Thermoanaerobaculaceae. The record is from RNAcentral. RNAcentral also lists the same sequence under 8 other names.
UCCCCGGUAGCUCAGUCGGCAGAGCGGGUGGCUGUUAACCACUAGGUCGCAGGUUCGAGUCCUGCCCGGGGAGCCA